Lupinus angustifolius (narrow-leaved blue lupine) is the source of this 119-nucleotide non-coding RNA. The record is from Rfam. Lineage: Eukaryota; Viridiplantae; Streptophyta; Magnoliopsida; Fabales; Fabaceae.
AGGUGCGAUCCUUCCAGCACUAAUGCACCAGAUCCCAUCAGAACUCCAUAGAUAACUAUACUUGGGCAAGAGUAGUACUAGGAUGGGUGACAUACUGGGAAGUCAUCGUGUUUCACCUC